AGACAAACUCACCUGAUUCAACUAAUUGAGGGCUUAAUGAUUAGUUAUCAAGUUGAAUCAGGUGUGCUUGUCCAGGGAUACAACAAAAUGUGUGCUUUUGGGGGUACUCGAGGUUGAUUAGUGUCCUACCUUUUUCUGUUUGGUGCUUUUAUGACGCCAGAGACGUGGUGAAAGAAGCAGUUACAAAAUAGAAGUCAUACUGUGUUCAACUGUGUUUGAUCUUGCCGAGCCAUCUUGUCUCAAGAGGACCACAAUGGAAAUAAGUCCCAGAUUUUGUGUGUUAUCCUCCAUGAUUUAGCAAUGGAAAUAAGUCCCAGACUUUGUGUGAUAUCCUCCAUGAUUUAACUCAUGUGCAUGUGUGGCUUUUUCUAGUUUUGUGUGCUUGUUAUUUAAAAUGGUCAAAUUAAUAAACUAACUUAACUUCAGAAAGACUAGACAGAUUUUUGGAAAACUUUGUUUAAACCAAAAAUGAUGUAUGAAAGCCUGAAAGUUUAGGUCUGUUGAAAACUGACAAAGACUAAUGAUUUUGUAGUGCAAUUGACUGUAAAAUAAACGACCACAUUUUUGUGGGUAGAUGUUCUCCAUUUGAAAUUAAGCCCAUAAAGUUGCUGGAAGCCAUUUUAUUUUUGUUCUGCAACAGAGCUGUUUCUGGGAGAUUUCUUGGAGUUAAGGAAUUCUUAUUCAAUUCCCUUUCCUGUUUGAGUUGGGCACCAUUAGUAAGAGGGUGUCUGUUGUACAAUUGCAGAAAUGCAACAUUUCUAAUGAUCUCUCUUCUUAAAACAGAUCCCUCAGUAUCUAUUUUGUCAUUAACAAAGAGUGAGACCAAGCACACCAAUGCACAAACAUAAUCAGCAGCGUAUAUCCUACUUGCGGCUACAGCAUAAACCACAGUGGAUAAAAUGUCUAGUUAAGUACACAAUCAAAAACCAUCCAGCCUAAAGUCUAAACAUGUCACUUUAGUCUAUGGUACACAACCACAAUCAUACAGCUAAUAGAAUGACAGAAAAUUAGCUGCUGGUUAAUGAGCUAAAUUGAAUUUGUGUGUCUAGCUGCACUGCUAUUCCAUAAAGCAUUUGUACGUUUGUAAAUCAUGUUCCCCUUCUUUGUCUUUAUCAUUUGCACAGUUUAUUAUGUAUGAUGAAUAAAGUGUUACAUUUUC
RNAcentral lists this long non-coding RNA (1159 nucleotides) under Salmo salar (Atlantic salmon). RNAcentral describes it as "lncRNA (ENSSSAG00000101811.1)". Lineage: Eukaryota; Metazoa; Chordata; Actinopteri; Salmoniformes; Salmonidae. The record is from RNAcentral.